CCUGCAAGGCGGGGAGGGCUCGAGGGGCCGCUCCUGCGGGCUCGGUCCCCGGCCCCAGGGCCUGCGGGCCCCCCUGCCCCACCACACCCUCCCGCUCCCCACUGCCCUGGGCUGAUUGGAGGAAAGGAAAAAAACAAAACAAAACAAAGACUUGGCAAGGUCCCAGGCCUCAUUGCUGUUUGAUGCCGGAUUACCCAGAAAGCAGGCUCAAGCCAAAUUCCGUCUCUGUUCCCUGAAGGAUGCUUGAGUAAAGAGAUCGCUCUUUGCCCUCCUUCCCUUCCCUGCACCCUCGUCCCUCUCCUCCUCCUUGUGACCACAGGACGCCCAGCCCUGGGCCCUGUCCGGGGCAGAAAGGCAGGAUCUGAGACCGGGGAAAGGAGGAAGCCUCGUGGGGGGCCUUUUCUACCUCCCUCCUGGAGGGCAAGAGCUGCUAGGGCACCCCCAGGGGACAGGCGACUCUCUUUGGACUCCUUACCUGUGUCCGGCGGGCCAGAGGGCCUGAGAGUCGCAGCAGAGCCAGAGGAAAAACACAGGCAGCCCAGAAAGCAACAACAGAAGAGACUGUCAGCAUUAGUCAGCUCCUGGACGGAGCGCCUUCCCACAGCAUGCCAUGAGGGCUGACUUAAAGCAUUGGUCCCCAAGGGAUGUCCCUGAACCCGAGAUUAUGGUAGGAGCAGAAAAGAUGCUUAGUGUGACCUUUCGCUUUGCCUAUUCAUAGACUCAUAGAUACAUGAAACCCUGGAGUUACAAGGAAACAGGUCAGCCAGGCCAGCUCUGCAUCUGGAAGAAAUGUGGCCAACUUUCAGCCCGGCGGUGCUCUCCUAGUGACCAUGAGCUUGCUCCCUCAAUGCGCAUAGCUGAUUCAGAAAGAGGCAGGCCUGUUCAAUCAAAAUUCUCGAGGGCUACUUGCUCUCCCCGGCUGGCCGGCUUGGGACGCUGAAGCUGAUUCUAGAUGUCAGACCUCACCUGAUCCUGGUGUCCAUGGAGUGAUCUCUGAUGUCGUGGAGCCCAGCCCUUUAUGACGAUGUGCCGAAGCUGCCUGAGUACACUCUCUGGAAUGAGAUUUAAGUACCAUCCCCUGCAUGAUCUUUUUUUUUUUUAAUUUUUAUUUAUUUAUGAUAGUCACACACACACAUACACACAGAGAGAGAGAGAGAGAGAGGCAGAGACACAGGCAGAGGGAGAAGCAGGCUCCAUGCACCGGGAGCCCGACGUGGGAUUCGAUCCCGGGUCUCCAGGAUCACGCCCUGGGCCAAAGGCAGGCGCUAAACCGCUGAGCCACCCAGGGAUCCCUCCCCUGCAUGAUCUUAUAGAAAACAAAUCAUACAGAGCCUGAAUUCUGAGUUCAGGUGCCAGAUGAGGAAGGCUCUAAGGGGCAUCUGGCACAUAGGUUGCUAGGGCCAAAGAAAGAAUCUCUGUGGGGUUAGCCUCCUCUUCUUUGGGCCAUACUUUUCCAAUUCCUCAUGGUCUGAGCUGAAUUGAAAUGCCCAUCACUUGUUCUCGACCUGUACUUACUGAUCACAGAGCAAUCUUAGUCUGUGCUUGCUCACCCUGGGACUGACAGCUCCACUGACGCCGCAGCUGCCCACUGAUCACGCUGGAGCACUGCUCGGCUCACUGAUCAUGCUGGAGUAUCGCCUUGCUCACUGAUCACACGGGGACUCUGUCUUGUUCACUUAUGCAGGGACACGGUCUUGUUCACUGAUGGUGCUGGAGCUGCCACUUUCCAGCGAGGAGUCAUCAGUUGUGGCAGCUCUGGUCUCUGCACGCUGGUUGCUGGGAAGGGCUUUAAAACCUCCUUGGUGGGAAGAGUCUAUUCCUGAUCAGAGUCCAAACUGAAAAAUGGAUCCUGCAUUUGCAAGCCCAGUGACAAUAUCCAUUAAACAUCGCCCAAGCAACGGCACCCUGGAACAUUAUUGUUUGGGUACUUCUUGCCCAAUACCAUGUGGGUUUCACUUGCAGAAGGAUCUACAUGAAUCAAAUUCAAGAAGGGAGAUGACUUGGCCAAAGGGUAUGGACCCCCUCAUGAGGAGCAGCGUUGCCUCUGAACAAAUGUGGUACAUACCCACGCUAGAAUAUUACUCAGCCACAAAAAAGGAAUAAAGUGCUGGCUCACAGAUCUCAAGCACGUUAAACUAGUCAGAGAAGCCAGACACCACAGGUCACAUGCUCUACGAUUCCAUUUAUAUGAAAUGUCCAGAAAAGGCAAAUCUGUGGAGUCAGAGUGCAGACUGGAAGUUGCCAGUCUGGGAGGACAAAGAAAUGGGGAACAGCUGAUCAAUAGGCAGCAGAGAAGCAGCGACAGAGAUAACAGCUUCGGCUUCUGACCAGGCUGGCACUGCUGGGGCUCCCACCAUGCUUCAUUGAGCGAUGUGAGCCCCUUGGUAAUCCUGUUAAGCCACCGGGGCAAUGAGUCAUUUCAAUACCACCCAAACACCUUCCUGUCGUGUCCCGGCAAGGAGAGGAGCUCCAGCCAGCACAUUAAGACUUGACCUGCAACAUUCUAAGCAUAAAUUGGAGCCUUUUAAUUGGGCGGUGACUUGGAAACCCAUCAUGCCUAAAUCAGUGCUCGGAGAGCUCAAGCUGCACUCUUUUGUUCGCUUAUUACCUCUUUUCUGAGCCCCUGGGAUAUCCGAGGCAUUGUGCUAAGCUUUCAGGAAUGCAUAUAUAUAUCAUAGCCACUGUCUUCAAGGAAUUCAGCGUCUCCUGGGACAGAGAGACUGGUAAACAGAAGGGAAAUGUGACAUUAUGAGAGCAGCAAAAUAAGAAUGUGACACAGGACAGUAGACAGUCCAGAGGAGAGAAGUAUUACCUCUGGGGGGUAGAGAAGGAAGGGCUGGGGAGGAGGAUCAAGGAAAUCUAAGGAUGCAGGAUUUUGAAGGAUGAUGGAGGUUUCCAUGUUCCAGUGAUGCUCCACGGGAGUGUGUUGUUCAAAGUGGUCUGCCUGGGUGAGGACGGGUGUUCUAUCCCUGUAGCUGUUUGCUAGUUGCAAGGUGACAGUAAAAAGAAGGCUGAGUUUCA
This is a long non-coding RNA of Canis lupus familiaris (dog), 3021 nucleotides long. RefSeq lists it as uncharacterized. Lineage: Eukaryota; Metazoa; Chordata; Mammalia; Carnivora; Canidae. The record is from RefSeq and is a predicted model, not a curated record. The transcript is spliced from 5 exons.